This 1029-nucleotide ribosomal RNA is filed under the name Triticum aestivum (bread wheat). Its description in RNAcentral is "partial small subunit ribosomal RNA". Lineage: Eukaryota; Viridiplantae; Streptophyta; Magnoliopsida; Poales; Poaceae. The record is from RNAcentral.
AUGGAAGGUCGCCCGUUGUUGGCCCCGGCCGUGACGCUGUGUCCUCCUUGACCGGCGUUGGGCUCGAGGGCCUCGCGAUACGUCGGCGACCUAGACGAUGGCAUGGCGGAGGGGCAGCUCUACGCCCUUUUCUGCCAGGUGGCGCCCGUGGCGUCCCUCCGUAUCUGCCGGGACGUCACUGGCAGGUCACUUGGGUACGCCUACGUGAAUUUCUACAGUAGGGAGGACGCCAAACGUGCAUUAGACUCUUUUACCCCUGCCAACAGGAAGCAUAUCCGAGUUAUGUUCUCGAAUAGGGACCCAACGCUGCGAUUGAGUGGAAAGGCCAAUAUAUUCAUAAAAAAUCUUGUGCCAAAUAUUGAUGGCAAGAGCUUGAGUGAUAUGUUUGGUCGCUAUGGCACUAUACUAUCAUGCAAAGUGGCCACUCACUUUAACGGUCAAUCAAAAGGGUACGGAUUUGUUCAGUUUGCAGAGGAGACAUCUGCCAAUGAUGCCAUCGACAACUUGAAUGGCAAGUUGGUGAAUGGCAAACAAAUUUUUGGAGGUCUCUUCAUUCGUCGUCCGGAGAGGCAUCCAAAUAUCAGCUUGAGUAUUAAUUAUACAAAUGUAUAUGUGAAGAACUUGCCAAAGGAAUUCACUCACAGUGACCUUCUGCAAGAGUUUGGUCCAUUCGGUACAAUUACUAGCGUUGUAAUCAUGAGAGAUAAUGAUGGAAUAUCCAAAUGCUUCGGAUUCGUUAACUAUGGGCAAUUAGAAUGUGCUGCAGAAGCUAUGAAAAGUCUUAAUGGGAAGAUGAUUAAGGAUACAAUUUUGUAUGUUGGAAGAGCUCAGAAAAAGUCAGAAAGAGAAGCAGAGCUGAAAGAAAACUUUGAGCGUGCGAGAAAUAAGAAAUUCAAAAAGUUUGAAGGGCUCUGUCUAUACGUGAAGAAUCUAGAUGAUAGUAUUAAUGGUCUAAAUCUUAGAGGGUUAUUUGAAUUUUUUGGUGAGAUAGGAUCAUGCAAGGUACUUCUCUCUUUAUUUGCUAGCUAA